RNAcentral lists this ribosomal RNA (442 nucleotides) under uncultured bacterium. Its description in RNAcentral is "partial 16S ribosomal RNA". It matches the Rfam family "Bacterial small subunit ribosomal RNA", at positions 338 to 795 of the family's 1533-position model. The record is from RNAcentral.
CCUACGGGGGGCAGCAGUAGGGAAUCUUUCACAAUGGGCGAAAGCCUGAUGGAGCAACGCCGCGUGCAGGAUGAAGGCCUUCGGGUUGUAAACUGCUUUUAUAAGCGAGAAAUAUGAUGGUAACUUAUGAAUAAGGAUCGGCUAACUACGUGCCAGCAGCCGCGGUCAUACGUAGGAUCCGAGCAUUAUCCGGAGUGACUGGGUGUAAAGAGUUGCGUAGGUGGGAUAAUAAGUAGCUAGUGAAAUCUGGUGGCUUAACCAUUCAGACUAUUGGCGAAACUGUUAAGCUCGAGACCGUUAGGGGUAACUGGAAUUUGUAGUGUAGGAGUGAAAUCCGUAGAUAUUAGAAAGAACACCAAUAGCGUAGGCAGGUUGCUGGGACGGUUCUGACACUAAGGCACGAAAGCGUAGGGAGCAAACGGGAUUAGAUACCCUAGUAGUC